CCUACGGGUGGCUGCAGUGAGGAAUAUUGGUCAAUGGACGAGAGUCUGAACCAGCCAAGUAGCGUGAAGGAUGACUGCCCUAUGGGUUGUAAACUUCUUUUAUAUGGGAAUAAAAUGUUCCACGUGUGGGAUUUUGUAUGUACCAUAUGAAUAAGGAUUGGCUAACUCCGUGCCAGCAGCCGCGGUAAUACGGAGGAUCCGAGCGUUAUCCGGAUUUAUUGGGUUUAAAGGGAGCGUAGGUGGAUUGUUAAGUCAGUUGUGAAAGUUUGCGGCUCAACCCCAUCCAGCCGUUGAAACUGGGGAUCUAGAGUGUGCGAGAGGUAUGCGGAAUGCGUGGUGUAGCGGUGAAAUGCAUAGAUAUCACGCAGAACCCCGAUUGCGAAGGCAGCAUACCGGUGCACAACUGACGCUCAGGCACGAAAGCGUGGGUAUCGAACAGGAUUAGAUACCCUGGUAGUC
Molecule: ribosomal RNA, 459 nt
Filed under: uncultured bacterium
Lineage: Bacteria
Description: partial 16S ribosomal RNA
Rfam family: Bacterial small subunit ribosomal RNA
Source: RNAcentral